Alligator mississippiensis (American alligator) is the source of this 4333-nucleotide long non-coding RNA. RefSeq lists it as uncharacterized. The record is from RefSeq and is a predicted model, not a curated record. Lineage: Eukaryota; Metazoa; Chordata; Crocodylia; Alligatoridae. The transcript has 5 exons.
CUUGUUGCUCGGGGAGGCGCCGGGGCGGCCGCGGGCCGAGGGAGCGCGGGGCUGCGGCGGCGGCGCGGGGCCGUCCCCGCCGCGGGAGUGGUUUGUCCUUCAAAGCUUGGAGGAGCUUACAGAUGUAAUGUCAGAGAGUGCAGAAGCCAGUUUCACUGUUACCCUUGAGCAGAAGUGGUCUGAUUGUAUUUUUACCAUUUUAAACAAAAGUGACAGUUUCUACAAACAUACCAAAAUCCUGCCUGGAUUGCCUUAUUUUGGAAAUUUGCCGGCUUUCAUCUGCUGCAUCGCUCUGUGGGCAAAGGAUAACCGUGCUGGGAGCAGACCCAGGCCUGAGUACCAGAUUCUCUUGGGGAAGUAACUCCACAGCCUGAAAGACGUCUGGAGGGGGAGACCCCACCCUUGGGAGCCUGGAGAAGGAGAGCCAGCCCAUUCCGGAAGGCCACAGGGAAAGCAUGACUGAGGUGGAGCCCGUGUUGGACUUUGCAUCCUCUGGGAGGACUGGCCGAAGGAACGCCCUGCCUGACAUCCUGGGCUCACCGGCCGGUGUCAGCCCUUCUGACCUCCCUCUCAAACUAGCAGAAAUGUCUCUAAACGCAGACAGAUCCCAGGAAAUGCAGUCCCCAACCACAGAGGUGCCCCCUCAGCAGCCCCAAAGCCCAGAGCUGAAGGACACAUCUUAACACCUCCCGUGGGCGCGUUUCUGACCAGCAGGGAAAGAGGAGACUGUCGAGCAUCAACCAAGCUUUACUGGCGUGGCCUGGAGUUUGCUGGGUUUUCCUUGGUGCUAUGCAGCAAGAACAUCUUGUGUUCCUUGGAAGAGGGGAGCAGAGGAGGGACAUGGAGCAGCCGAAGGGGAAUAAGCCCCUCAAGUCUGGUGCAGCUGGGACAAAUCCCUGCAGGGAACCAUUUCUUCUGUGGUGUUUAAGGGAACAAACAAAGGGACCAAGGGCUUUUGUUUUGGGGGAUAUUUUCUUGUCUUCACACCUGCACAGUCAAGCAGCUCAGAGGCAGCCUUGCCCUAGGAAUUGCUGAGAGGAGCAGGGGAGUAGCUAUUUUUAUGUGAGGGCACUGUCCACUGUGACGUUUUGGGAGCAAUUUCUUUGUUCUUUUUCUCAUGAUCCAGUAUCCUUCUUCAGGCCUCUUGACAAGAUUUGGGGAAAUGGUCCAGAGGGGAACACAGUGCAGGCUCCACUCUGUGUCCCAAUGGAGAAGCCCUUCUCUAAGAAGCAGGAAUCGGGGACCAUUCUUGGGCAUGAUCCCACUGAUCCAGGGUCCCACUGUAAACCCUUGCCAUGUGUGUGCGUGUAUUUGGGGGGGGGGCUCAGCAAUACCCCCUCCCCACUUCUGUCCCAGGCCUGGCACAGACUCCCAACCCUCCUGGGUUCCUGUUAGAGUCCAGGCAAGGGGAACACUGUGCAAAGCUACUUCCUUCACUGCUGGCCCUGAGAAGCAGACCCUGCUCUGUAGCCAUGGCAUUUGGUCUGUAACCAAUGAAGGCAGGAACAAGAUGAAGGGGCAGCUGGGCUCUGCAGUGCAUGGCAGGGUGACUGACCAAUACUGUAGUGAACUGAGUGGAGGGAGGCUGACCUGACUUCAGGGUUAGGCAACAGGGUUAGCAUAACAUCCAUGAGCUGGGAGCCUAGGACUGUGCUUGCUACACACAGGCUUCCAGGACCUGGCCACAUGCUGCCCUCUGCAGAACAGUUGAUGUAUUACACAGGGCUCACCACACCCACCUGUUCCCAUCCCUUACAUCCCAAGCUUGCCAUGGCUGAUCUGCAGGUGGCACCAGGUGGUACUGAAGUCUGGGCAGGGACUGAAUACCUGCUUUCCAUCAAAGGCACAGGAUCUCCCACCGCAUCCAGUCCUCCUGCCUGGCUCCCAGAGGAGAAGCUGUUGGGCUGUGAUCUCACUGCAGAGCAUGAGGUGGGGCUCAGGGCUGGUAGGGUGCAACGGGCACAGGAAGGAGCUCUGGUGCAGAGAAACCUGAUGGCCUGCUUGCCCCUUAGCAUGUGUUUGCGGUGUGAGAAGGCCUGGGAGCCCAAAAUAUGGAGCAGGGCCCCAGUAGGUAGGACACUGCCCAAACACAGCACAGACCAGGGCCCAGCUGAUAAGACCAUGCAGAGCUUCCCGGUCUGCAAGGGAGCUUGUACUGAGCCCCUGCAGAGCAGCUGCUGGCUUUUCCCCACCAUUCACCUGGCAGUCAGGACCAAGCUAAUGAGCAUGACAGAGAAUUGUGGGAUACCUGGCUUAAUAGAAAUGAGCACUAAGCACCAAGCCGAACUCACUGCCACUGGCCUUGUUUCCAGUACUGGGUGCGUAGAGGCACCAGGAGAACAGCCCUAGUCGUGGAACAAUCCUGCAAAGAUUCUCUAUCUUUAAUGAAUGAUAGAGUGGGGAAUGAGUUAGCCUGGAGUUAGACUGUCCCCUCCCUUGCCAUUUCUCCCCCUGGGCACCCCGGCUUCUCAUCAGUGAGUACUCUCUUUGACAAGGCUGCCAGCGCCUCCUCAGGGAGCCCCAUAGGGAGCCCACCCCCUCCCUGCUGCACAGCUAAGAUGUUCAGGAGACUUCAAAAGCCCAUGCUGGUUUUGUCCCCCAUCUCCCAAGGUCUGACAGUAACAUAUUUCUGGCUUUCCACCAUCUGCCAGUCCUAAGGGCAGGUAGCUUAUGGCUGCCUGUCCUGGCCCUGCUAAUCUGAGUUUUUGGUGAUUCUCCAGGUUCCCAUAUGCAGUUAAGGGUUGUGCGGUAAGUGUAUCUAUCCCAUGUCAUUAACUUGGUAACUCAUCCUAAAACUCUUUUUCCAGCCUGGUUUUUCUGGGGUGAUGUUUCCUGGCCUGGCUCUGGGCAGCUCCUGCUUUGCAGGACUUGGGCCUUGAAGUGCUCAGCUGUGCUGCUGUUGGAUCAGGAUGAAUCUCAGCGCUACAGCAGGUCAUGGUCAUCAAUGCUACAGGUGCCUCUGUUGAACUGGCCAAGGAAUACAAAACCCAAAGAACGAAAUACUUCCACGGGCACCAAACAUCCAUUGUGCUACACAGAGAUAACAACCCUUUGUCAUUCUCCAGCUCCUUCUAUCUGGGAAUUUCAGUCAUUUAUAAAAUGAUCGCAUAUACCCACAAAUCUCACUCUGGUUAUAAACAUGUCACUGGUCCAAAGUGCUGAUUAUAUUCAGGAUUGGAUAAGUAUUUAAAAAAUACAGACCCACUGAGCAACCCCUGAAGGCUCAACAUGGAUUUUAUACAUUAAUGUCUCACAGCCAUAAACCCCAUGCUGUUAACCAAUCCAGGCUCUCAGGUUUCUAGAGGUAUAAAGCACUUAUUUCUAUCUGGGAAAAAUCAUUGUACCCAGCCUUUUACAAUCAUACCAUUCAAUUACCAUUUUGCCUUCCUCCCCUACCUUCUUAAUUUCCAUUGUGAUUUUUGGUAGCUGCCAUUUCAAGAACUACUUGAUCUACAAUUUGAUAUUUCUUGCCAUUGUGAGAGGGGGGGCACCUGGAAUCAGAGACUGCAAAAGGGACAAGGCAUCAGUUUCAAACUUGAAAUACCAGCUGCUAAAAUCAUAUUUCAUUGGCUCUUCCACAAGUACUUUGCCAGUGGGACCAAGCCAAAUGUUUUCAGAACUAAUCAGUCUUUUCCAAGCACAUCCCAAGUCCAGAGCAAGCGAUUGUGUCUCUGCCCUCCCUCCCAGUCUGUUAAACUUGUAAAACAUCUGUCUGCCAGGAUUGUGCUGCAAGGAGAGAACAAGGGGAAACUUGGGUAUAUCUGGAAUAAAUCAAUUGCCAGGAAUGGCAAAGUUAUAGUUUUACACAAGUGUAACUGAGACCAGGCUCUGGUCUCACUGUCUAAAUAAUUCCUGAACAAGGAUACUGGAUUUAGCAUCAUUCUUACUGUGUAAACAAGCAGUACCCUGGAUUUAAUGUCUGUACAAUGUAGCUGUGUGUGUGUUGGUGCGGGUCCACGUUGGGUGUGUAUAGUGUGUUCCUGCUGCUUCCUUGGGAUUCUGAACUGAGCACAGAAAGUGUAUGGAGGCCGUGGUCUGGGGUGGACAUGGGGACCAGAAACUUGUGGCUACUGAUCUGACCUGACAGUGCUAGGAGGAUGAAGAGCAGUUCCAAAAGGAAGCUCCCUCCCUCUCUGAUGAUGUGUGUCUUUGAACAUCAAACUGUCAAUCUCAUUCAUUUUGGCUGGGGUAUAGUUGGGCAUCAGGAGGGGGCUGGGAUGGGGAGAGAAAACAGUGUAGUUAUUUGAAGAGAUCACUGCGUGUCUGGGAGAGUCCUGGACUGCUCACACCAGGGGACUUGUUUGAGUAAUAAAUUGUGAGUAUUUUCCUGUGA